GGGGAAUAUUGGACAAUGGGCGAAAGCCUGAUCCAGCCAUGCCGCGUGUGUGAAGAAGGCCUUCGGGUUGUAAAGCACUUUAAGCGAGGAGGAAGGUUCGUCACCUAAUACGUGGCGGAAUUGACGUUACUCGCAGAAUAAGCACCGGCUAACUCUGUGCCAGCAGCCGCGGUAAUACAGAGGGUGCAAGCGUUAAUCGGAAUUACUGGGCGUAAAGCGCGCGUAGGCGGUUGUGUAAGUUGGAUGUGAAAUCCCCGGGCUUAACCUGGGCACUGCAUUCAAAACUGCACGGCUAGAGUAUUGGAGAGGAAGGUAGAAUUCCAGGUGUAGCGGUGAAAUGCGUAGAGAUCUGGAGGAAUACCGAUGGCGAAGGCAGCCUUCUGGCCAAAUACUGACGCUGAGGUGCGAAAGCAUGGGGAGCAAAC
This 425-nucleotide ribosomal RNA is filed under the name uncultured bacterium. RNAcentral's name for it is "bacterial SSU rRNA". It matches the Rfam family "Bacterial small subunit ribosomal RNA", at positions 356 to 773 of the family's 1533-position model. The record is from RNAcentral.